GCCGAGGGCUACGACGUGCGGCGCAACAGCGGCCGCCUCAAGGUGGCGCUCGGCGCCCUCCUCAACAAGGGCGUGCUGCGGCGGGUGACGGGCAGCGGCGUCGCCGGCUCGUUCCGCGUGGGCCGCGGCGGCAAGGCGAAAGGCCCGAGGCGCUCCGUCAAAGCGCCGCGGCAGCGGCUGAAGAAGGCGAGGAGAGCGCGGGGGAAGGCGGCGGCGGCCGGGAGCGAGUGUUGAGCGCGGCGGAUGGAGCAGCGGUAAAAAAAACCUUUGAACCCAAAGGCUCUUUUAAGAGCCACCCCGCAGGGUUCAGCGGAGGAGCUGGGCACCGCGGGGGUGUGUGUGGGGGGGGCGCUCCGCGGCGACACCCGCGCCGCCGAGCCGGCCUGGGGGCGGGGAAACACCGCGUGGGGGCGGCGGGGAAUGCGCGCAAGGGCGGGCGCGGCGCGGGGGACUCGCGGCAGCGGCCGCUCUGGUGCCCGGCGCCGGCGGGAGAAGAGGGGAGGCCGCGGAGCGUGAAAAGCGCGAGGUGCCUCUAUAAGGCGAAAUACGACGGAGGCAUCAAGAUCCCACGCAAAUCUCCUCCUGGUGGGGAAAAAAAAAUGGGGGGAGAAAUGCUCGGAUCGGCCCAAGGCGAAGGGCAGGGUGAUGGCCAAACCAGCUGGAUUUGGGGGGAAUUUCUGGGCUCUUGAAGCCUGGCAGAGGAAACGCUUUGAAAGCAGAG
Molecule: long non-coding RNA, 721 nt
Filed under: Apteryx owenii (little spotted kiwi)
Lineage: Eukaryota; Metazoa; Chordata; Aves; Apterygiformes; Apterygidae
Description: lncRNA (ENSAOWG00000019496.1)
Rfam family: Histone 3' UTR stem-loop (bases 274-320)
Source: RNAcentral